UACGGGGGGGGCAAGCGUUGUUCGGAAUUACUGGGCGUAAAGGGCUUGUAGGCGGUCAACUAAGUCAGACGUGAAAUCCCUCGGCUUAACCGGGGAACUGCGUCUGAUACUGGAUGGCUUGAGUUUGGGAGAGGGAUGCGGAAUUCCAGGUGUAGCGGUGAAAUGCGUAGAUAUCUGGAGGAACACCGGUGGCGAAGGCGGCAUCCUGGACCAGCACUGACACUGAAAAGCGAAAGCCAGGGGAGCAAACGGG
Molecule: ribosomal RNA, 253 nt
Filed under: uncultured bacterium
Lineage: Bacteria
Description: partial 16S ribosomal RNA
Rfam family: Bacterial small subunit ribosomal RNA
Source: RNAcentral